CGUGUCGUGAGAUGUUGGUUAAGUCCCGCGACCGAGCGCAACCCUUGUCCUUAGUUGCCACCAUUCAUUGGGCACUCUAAGGAGACUGCCGGUGUUAAACCGGAGGAAGGCGGGGAUGACGUCAAGUCCUCAUGGCCCUUAUAUCCAGGGCUACACACGUGCUACAAUGGCCGGUACAAAGGGUCGCAAUACCGCAAGGUGGAGCUAAUCCCAAAAAGCCGGUCUCAGUUCGGAUUGGAGUCUGCAACUCGACUCCAUGAAGUCGGAAUCGCUAGUAAUCGCGUAUCAGCAUGACGCGGUGAAUACGUUCCCGGGCCUU
RNAcentral lists this ribosomal RNA (319 nucleotides) under uncultured Geothermobacter sp. RNAcentral's name for it is "bacterial SSU rRNA". It matches the Rfam family "Bacterial small subunit ribosomal RNA", at positions 1061 to 1382 of the family's 1533-position model. The record is from RNAcentral. Lineage: Bacteria; Pseudomonadati; Thermodesulfobacteriota; Desulfuromonadia; Desulfuromonadales; Geothermobacteraceae.